Chrysemys picta bellii (western painted turtle) is the source of this 2167-nucleotide non-coding RNA. NCBI's taxonomy places the organism in Eukaryota, Metazoa, Chordata, Testudines, Emydidae. The record is from RefSeq and is a predicted model, not a curated record.
AGCCCCUGAAUACUCACUAAGGCUUCUCGGAGCACAAUGAGGACUCUGAAGUGCCCUGGCCCUGGCCCGGUAGCACCAGGCUUGCACACGGACAAAUCAGUCCCGCUUUACCUUUGCGGCCAUUUGGCUGAGCGCAGCACCCCAAUGGCUUUGGGGCCUCCCCGCGGGGUCCCUCCAGUCCGGAUUUCCUUUCACCGACGACCUUUGCUCGUCCCGCGCCGCGCCGGGCCAGCCGGAGUCCCCAGGGGGCAGCCAGCGCUCGCAGUGGCGAAUACCCGGACCGAGCCCCAGCGCGCCUCUCCUCCGCUCGCUCGGUCCUCCCCCGCCGCCAGCCGGGGCCCAGGGGCGGGCGGCAGAAGUUGCUGCUGCUGCCUCUCGGCUCGGCAGCUUUGGACACGAUCCGUCACGAGCCCGCCAGCUCCGAGCCGCGGCGCGCCCAGCGGGGCCGAGCCUGUGCGAAAGUUUGGGGCGCCGAGUCCCGCCUCGCAAACGGUGUGUAGCUGGCGGGCGAGGCCGCCCCGCGGGGAAAAGCCCGUUCGCUUCGCAGCCCCGAGGUGCUCCCCACGGCUGGGGCAGCCCGGGGGGAACCGGGCGCGCAAAGUUACAGCGGAGCCGGAGCAGCCGAGGGACGGUGACCCCGCCUCCCGCGCGGGACCAGCCUUCCCGGCAGCGAGCGGCUCUGAGCCUGGCUGGGGGGUGGGAAGUUCCCGGGCCAGAGCGGAGGAGCCCAGGCUGCGGCCGCAGCAGAUGUUAGCAGCAGGCGGAAGACAGCGGGGCUGCUGCUGCGGCUUGGGGGAGGCGCGCCGGGCUCUCCCGCGCUGGCUGCGGGGCGGACUGAGGUGACGGGAAAGGAGGGGCGCCUCCGCCUUCCUCAGCUUGUCCGGCCAGCAAUCCAGCUGUGCCCGGACAGGCCGCGCCCCUCCCCGAGAACUCUCCCCUGCCCCGAGCCGCGCCGCUGGGGCUUGGCUCCCUGGCGGCGGGGGUCGCUUUGGCAGCGAACGCUUUGCACAUCGUCUGGGGGUAACUGUGCCUCGACGCUGGUCACCUUUUGGUCUCAGCCGUGAUAAGCCCUAUGGGGAUCCUGAAAGUUGUGACCACGUGAAGUGUUGACUGGGGAAAGCAACCAUUUUGUGUGUGGAAACACGAGGUUUGGCUGACCAAGUCUUACCGCAACUGAGGUGAGGACUCACAUAGGGCAGACAUUGGCAUCUGGGAGAGAGGAGGAUGCACCAAUGAGGAGGGAGGAUGUCAUAUCUCAUACUGACAUGUUUGAACCUUUCCAUGAACUCAAGGACUUGAAAAUCAGGGUGAAAAAACCACACAACUCUGUGACAUAAUUGUAAAAAUACUCAACUAAACAUUUACAGAGCCAAAAUCUGCAGUGAUUUGCACCCUAUGUAACCCGGCGACUGAGUUUGCAAGAAAUGUAACUCAGCACAGAACCAAGUCCCUGUUGUUUGUUUUCUCAUUUCUUUACUAUUCCAUUUCAUAUCUAGUGUUUGCUCGCUCUCUUCAAUGUAUUCUCUCAUCUUUCUCUUCUCUUCCUGUCUCUCUCUGUCUGUUUCCCUUUUUCUGGAAAAUGUAACUGGGCCCACCAAUUCUCAAAAAGAAUCAUGGUUCCUUCUUGUGAUGCUGGCAGACUAGGUGCCAGCACAUGCCAAGGCCCAAGGCCUCACAAAACACUGACAAAUAUAUACCUGGGCACCAGUCUGGCUUACCUGUGGGAUAGUUAGUUAAAAUAAAAAUUAGUGUUAUAAGAAUGUGUUUAGUGUUUAGACUUAAUGGAAUGUUUGUAGGAUGCUGCAUGUAUUAAUCCUACUUAUAAUAUCUAUAUCCCCUGGCAAAGGAUAAGAUUUUGUAAUGGAAGUCACAGAAGCUACAGAUUCUGUGACUUUCAAAGACCUUUGUGACAUUUUCCCUUCACCUUCAGCCCUAUGCAGCAGGCCCCACAGCUUUCAGCCACCGUGGGGCUCGGGCGUCAGUCAUCCCCGCAUCAACCCUCCCCCAUUAUUUAUUGUAAAAGUAACAGACAGGUCGCAGGCUUCCAUGAAUUUUUGUAAAUUGCCUGCAUCCUGUCCGUGACUUUUACUAAAAAUAACCAUGAUAAAAUCUCAACCUUACCCAUGGUCUAAAACAGGGGUGGGUAAACUACAGUCCGCGCGCCGCA